This is a long non-coding RNA of Larimichthys crocea (large yellow croaker), 295 nucleotides long. RefSeq lists it as uncharacterized. The transcript has 4 exons. The record is from RefSeq and is a predicted model, not a curated record. Lineage: Eukaryota; Metazoa; Chordata; Actinopteri; Sciaenidae.
CAGCUGAUUAAUCAUGGACGGAGGGAAAAGUCUAACCCAGAAUUUGUACAAGGAUUUCAGGAAAAGAGAUUUCCAUCAAGUGUGUGGACAAUGCUGCUGGAUUUCCUGGUGUAGUCGUCUAUGGUACACAAACAUUCCCCAUUUCAUCUCAAAAAGGGAGUGUAGAUGAGGAGGCCAUGGAAUGGGAGCCAUCAGAGGUGAAGCCACACCCAAAGGCCAGAAAUUUGACAUCCAUGGAGGAGGAGACCCCGAUGGAGAUAGAUUGAAAAAAUGUAUAAGAACCUGUUCUCUGUAA